UACGGAGGGAGCUAGCGUUGUUCGGAAUUACUGGGCGUAAAGCGCACGUAGGCGGCUUUGUAAGUUAGAGGUGAAAGCCUGGGGCUCAACCCCAGAAUUGCCUUUAAGACUGCAUCGCUUGAAUCCAGGAGAGGUGAGUGGAAUUCCGAGUGUAGAGGUGAAAUUCGUAGAUAUUCGGAAGAACACCAGUGGCGAAGGCGGCUCACUGGACUGGUAUUGACGCUGAGGUGCGAAAGCGUGGGGAGCAAACAGG
Molecule: ribosomal RNA, 253 nt
Filed under: uncultured bacterium
Lineage: Bacteria
Description: partial 16S ribosomal RNA
Rfam family: Bacterial small subunit ribosomal RNA
Source: RNAcentral